This 525-nucleotide ribosomal RNA is filed under the name uncultured bacterium. RNAcentral describes it as "bacterial SSU rRNA". It matches the Rfam family "Bacterial small subunit ribosomal RNA", at positions 984 to 1509 of the family's 1533-position model. The record is from RNAcentral.
ACAUCCAGCGAACUUGGCAGAGAUGCCUUGGUGCCUUCGGGAACGCUGAGACAGGUGCUGCAUGGCUGUCGUCAGCUCGUGUUGUGAAAUGUUGGGUUAAGUCCCGNAACGAGCGCAACCCUUAUCCUUUGUUGCCAGCGAUUCGGUCGGGAACUCAAAGGAGACUGCCGGUGAUAAACCGGAGGAAGGCGGGGAUGACGUCAAGUCAUCAUGGCCCUUACGAGUAGGGCUACACACGUGCUACAAUGGCGCAUACAAAGAGAAGCGACCUCGCGAGAGCAAGCGGACCUCAUAAAGUGCGUCGUAGUCCGGAUCGGAGUCUGCAACUCGACUCCGUGAAGUCGGAAUCGCUAGUAAUCGUGGAUCAGAAUGCCACGGUGAAUACGUUCCCGGGCCUUGUACACACCGCCCGUCACACCAUGGGAGUGGGUUGCAAAAGAAGUAGGUAGCUUAACCUUCGGGAGGGCGCUUACCACUUUGUGAUUCAUGACUGGGGUGAAGUCGUAACAAGGUAAGCGUAGCGAG